This 485-nucleotide ribosomal RNA is filed under the name uncultured bacterium. Its description in RNAcentral is "partial 16S ribosomal RNA". It matches the Rfam family "Bacterial small subunit ribosomal RNA", at positions 28 to 507 of the family's 1533-position model. The record is from RNAcentral.
GAUGAACGCUGGCGGCGUGCUUAACACAUGCAAGUCGAACGGGAUCCAAGGGGUGCUUGCACUUUUUGGUGAGAGUGGCGAACGGGUGAGUAACACGUGAGUAACCUGUCCUUUUCUUUGGGAUAAGCAUUCGAAAGGGUGUUUAAUACCUUAUGUUCUGUCUGCCUCGCAUGGGGUGGGUGGGAAAGGCUUUGGCCGGAUUUGGGUGGGCUCGCGGUCUAUCAGCUUGUUGGUGGGGUGAUGGCUUACCAAGGCUUUGACGGGUAGCCGGCCUGAGAGGGUGGUCGGUCACAUGGGGACUGAGAUACGGCCCAGACUCCUGCGGGAGGCAGCAGUGGGGGAUAUUGCACAAUGGGCGAAAGCCUGAUGCAGCGACGCCGCGUGGGGGAUGAAGGCCUGCGGGUUGUAAACUUCUUUUGCUCUGAACAAGGCAUGCCAGUGGGUGUGUUGAGUGUAGGGGUUGAUUAGCGCCGGCUAACUACGUG